GAUGAACGCUGGCGGCGUGCCUAGUACAUGCAAGUCGAACGCUUCACAUAUGUGAAGAGUGGCGAACGGGUGAGUAAUACAUAAGUAACCUGGCCUUUACAGGGGGAUAACUGUUGGAAACGAUAGCUAAGACCGCAUAGGUGUCAUAACCGCAUGGAGAUGAUAUGAAAUAUGCUACGGCAUAGGUAGAGGAUGGACUUAUGGCGCAUUAGCUAGUUGGAGGGGUAACGGCCCACCAAGGCGACGAUGCGUAGCCGACCUGAGAGGGUGACCGGCCACACUGGGACUGAGACACGGCCCAGACUCCUACGGGAGGCAGCAGUAGGGAAUUUUCGGCAAUGGGGGAAACCCUGACCGAGCAACGCCGCGUGAAGGAAGAAGUAAUUCGUUAUGUAAACUUCUGUCAUAGAGGAAGAACGGUGCGUGUAGGGAAUGACAUGCAAGUGACGGUACUCUAUAAGAAAGCCACGGCUAACUACGUGCCAGCAGCCGCGGUAAUACGUAGGUGGCGAGCGUUAUCCGGAAUUAUUGGGCGUAAAGAGGGAGCAGGCGGCACUAAGGGUCUGUGGUGAAAGAUCGAAGCUUAACUUCGGUAAGCCAUGGAAACCGUAGAGCUAGAGUGUGUGAGAGGAUCGUGGAAUUCCAUGUGUAGCGGUGAAAUGCGUAGAUAUAUGGAGGAACACCAGUGGCGAAGGCGACGAUCUGGCGCAUAACUGACGCUCAGUCCCGAAAGCGUGGGGAGCAAAUAGGAUUAGAUACCCUAGUAGUCCACGCCGUAA
This 779-nucleotide ribosomal RNA is filed under the name uncultured bacterium. Its description in RNAcentral is "bacterial SSU rRNA". It matches the Rfam family "Bacterial small subunit ribosomal RNA", at positions 28 to 805 of the family's 1533-position model. The record is from RNAcentral.